This 417-nucleotide ribosomal RNA is filed under the name Apotolamprus sp. BMNH673991. RNAcentral's name for it is "partial 16S ribosomal RNA". Lineage: Eukaryota; Metazoa; Arthropoda; Insecta; Coleoptera; Scarabaeidae. The record is from RNAcentral.
GUCUUUUUGAGUAUAAUUUAAAGUCUGACCUGCCCUAUGAUUUAAUUAUUAAAUGGCUGCAGUAAUUUGACUGUACAAAGGUAGCAUAAUCAUUAGUUUUUUAAUUGGGAACUGGUAUGAAAGGUCGAACGAAAAAAAAACUGUCUCAAUUUAAUUUAAAUUAGAAUUUUAUUUUUAAGUUAAAAAGCUUAAAUGAUUUUAAAAGACGAGAAGACCCUAUAGAGUUUUAUAUUUAAAUAUUUAUAUAAGAAAUUAAAGAAUUAUUAUUUUUUAUAAAUAAUUAAGUAUUUAAUUGGGGCGAUUAAAAAAUUAAAAUAACUUUUUUUAUUAAUUAAACAUUGAUUUAUGAAUAGUUGAUCCAUAUUUAAUGAUUAUAAGAUUAAAUUACCUUAGGGAUAACAGCGUAAUUUUUUUUGA